UAGUCCUACGGGAGGCAGCAGUGAGGAAUAUUGGUCAAUGGGCUUACGCCUGAACCAGCCAAGUCGCGUGAGGGAAGCCUGCCCUAUGGGUUGUAAACCUCUUUUGUCAGGGAGCAAUUGGCGCUACGUGUAGCGUUAUCGAGAGUACCUGAAGAAAAAGCAUCGGCUAACUCCGUGCCAGCAGCCGCGGUAAUACGGAGGAUGCGAGCGUUAUCCGGAUUUAUUGGGUUUAAAGGGUGCGCAGGCGGUCUGUUAAGUCAGCGGUCAAAGCCCGGGGCUCAACCCCGGCCCGCCGUCGAAACUGG
Molecule: ribosomal RNA, 305 nt
Filed under: uncultured bacterium
Lineage: Bacteria
Description: bacterial SSU rRNA
Rfam family: Bacterial small subunit ribosomal RNA
Source: RNAcentral